This 73-nucleotide transfer RNA is filed under the name Malassezia sympodialis ATCC 42132. RNAcentral's name for it is "tRNA-Ala (TGC) (tRNA-Ala-TGC-1-1)". It matches the Rfam family "tRNA". Rfam says of the family: Transfer RNA (tRNA) molecules are approximately 80 nucleotides in length. Their secondary structure includes four short double-helical elements and three loops (D, anti-codon, and T loops). Lineage: Eukaryota; Fungi; Basidiomycota; Malasseziomycetes; Malasseziales; Malasseziaceae. The record is from RNAcentral.
GGGCGCGUGGUGGAGUGGUUACCACGUCCGCUUUGCAAGCGGUAGGUCGCGGGUUCAAAUCCCGUCGUGUCCA